RNAcentral lists this ribosomal RNA (247 nucleotides) under uncultured bacterium. Its description in RNAcentral is "partial 16S ribosomal RNA". It matches the Rfam family "Bacterial small subunit ribosomal RNA", at positions 15 to 244 of the family's 1533-position model. The record is from RNAcentral.
GAUCAUGGCUCAGGAUGAACGCUGGCGGCGUGCUUAACACAUGCAAGUCGAACGAAGCUGUUGUUUGGAGACCUUCGGGUGGAAGAAUGACAGACUGAGUGGCGGACGGGUGAGUAACGCGUGGGUAACCUACCUUGUACAGGGGGACAACAGUUGGAAACGACUGCUAAUACCGCAUAAGACCACAGUACCGCAUGGUACAGGGGUAAAAACUGAGGUGGUGCAAGAUGGACCCGCGUCUGAUUAG